UCAACUUGAGAGUUUGAUCCUGGCUCAGAACGAACGCUGGCGGCAGGCCUAACACAUGCAAGUCGAGCGCUUCCCUUCGGGGAGGAGCGGCGGACGGGUUAGUAACGCGUGGGAAUAUACCCAGUUCUAAGGAAUAGCCACUGGAAACGGUGAGUAAUACCUUAUACGCCCUUCGGGGGAAAGAUUUAUCGGAAUUGGAUUAGCCCGCGUUAGAUUAGAUAGUUGGUGGGGUAACGGCCUACCAAGUCGACGAUCUAUAGCUGGUUUGAGAGGAUGAUCAGCAACACUGGGACUGAGACACGGCCCAGACUCCUACGGGAGGCAGCAGUGGGGAAUCUUAGACAAUGGGCGCAAGCCUGAUCUAGCCAUGCCGCGUGAGUGAUGAAGGUCUUAGGAUCGUAAAGCUCUUUCGCCAGGGAUGAUAAUGACAGUACCUGGUAAAGAAACCCCGGCUAACUCCGUGCCAGCAGCCGCGGUAAUACGGAGGGGGUUAGCGUUGUUCGGAAUUACUGGGCGUAAAGCGCACGUAGGCGGAUUGG
Molecule: ribosomal RNA, 539 nt
Filed under: Paracoccaceae bacterium
Lineage: Bacteria; Pseudomonadati; Pseudomonadota; Alphaproteobacteria; Rhodobacterales; Paracoccaceae
Description: bacterial SSU rRNA
Rfam family: Bacterial small subunit ribosomal RNA
Source: RNAcentral